This is a small nucleolar RNA of Mastomys coucha (southern multimammate mouse), 130 nucleotides long. RefSeq annotates it as small nucleolar RNA SNORA17. The transcript has a single exon. Lineage: Eukaryota; Metazoa; Chordata; Mammalia; Rodentia; Muridae. The record is from RefSeq and is a predicted model, not a curated record.
CCUGGCCCUAAAAGCAUUGCAGGUCUGGCUACAGUAUCACAUGUGCAUCAGUAGGUUGCAGAGGAGAGAGAUUAUGUGUACUCUCAGUGUUCUGACCUGUGAACAUCUGAAUGAUUGGUAACCUUACACU